GCGUAAAGCGAGCGCAGGCGGUUUUGUAAGUCUGCUGUGAAAGCCCUCAGCUCAACUGAGGAAGUGCAGUGGAAACUACAAAACUUGAGUACAGAAGAGGAAAGUGGAACUCCAUGUGUAGCGGUGAAAUGCGUAGAUAUAUGGAAGAACACCAGUGGCGAAGGCGGCUUUCUGGUCUGUUACUGACGCUGAGGCUCGAAAGCAUGGGUAGCGAACAGGAUUAGAUACCCUGGUAGUCCAUGCCGUAAACGAUGAAUACUAGGUGUUGGAGGGUUUCCGCCCUUCAGUGCCGCAGCUAACGCAUUAAGUAUUCCGCCUGGGGAGUACGACCGCAAGGUUGAAACUCAAAGGAAUUGACGGGGGCCCGCACAAGUGGUGGAGCAUGUGGUUUAAUUCGAUGCUACGCGAAGAACCUUACCAGCUCUUGACAUCUUCUGCCAACCCAAGAGAUUGGGCGUUCCCUUCGGGGACAGAAUGACAGGUGGUGCAUGGUUGUCGUCAGCUCGUGUCGUGAGAUGUUGGGUUAAGUCCCGCAACGAGCGCAACCCUUAUUAUUAGUUGCCAGCAUUUAGUUGGGCACUCUAGUGAGACUGCCGGUGAUAAACCGGAGGAAGGUGGGGACGACGUCAAAUCAUCAUGCCCCUUAUGAGCUGGGCUACACACGUGCUACAAUGGAUGGUACAACGAGUCGCGAAACCGCGAGGUCAAGCUAAUCUCUUAAAGCCAUUCUCAGUUCGGAUUGCAGGCUGCAACUCGCCUGCAUGAAGUUGGAAUCACUAGUAAUCGUGGAUCAGCAUGCCACGGUGAAUACGUUCCCGGGCCUUGUACACACCGCCCGUCACACCAUGAGAGUUUGUAACACCCAAAGACGAUGGGGUAACC
Molecule: ribosomal RNA, 882 nt
Filed under: Apilactobacillus kunkeei
Lineage: Bacteria; Bacillati; Bacillota; Bacilli; Lactobacillales; Lactobacillaceae
Description: bacterial SSU rRNA
Rfam family: Bacterial small subunit ribosomal RNA
Source: RNAcentral